GUUACUAAGAUAAGCAAAUUAAUUUAAUGUGUGUGUGUGUGUGUUUGUUUUAAACCAUAGUAGUUGAAAGGGAUGAAGGAAGUGUUUGGGUGUUUGUGAGGGAAUGGCAUAGAGAAUUUCUUCUACCAGUAUAAAUUAUUCAGCAGUUAUAAUCUUAGAGCAUUUCCUUGGGCAUUGAAUGGGUUACACAGUGAAGAUAGAUCUGAUUCUAAGAUCAACCUCUGCAUUCUGUCAGGUUCCCUCUAAUAGAGUGAGUCACAAAAAAUUUUUUCAAGUAUACAUGUUAUUUAAAAAACAACAACACAUUAAUAUAAAAAACCUAGACAACUUCAAAAUGAUUUUGAAAGAAAUUAACUUCAUACUUUACAGGCUAUUCCUAAGAUCCAUGUGUUUGCUGUCAAUAUUGGUUGUAUCAUAAAAAUAUAUUUAAGUUCUCUAGGGAAACAUAAAUUUGGUAUCUGAUAUCACCAAUACUCACCAGGCUUCUCUUUUGACUAUUUCUUGGAUUUACUAAAUGUCUUUAACCACAUGUAAGUUUUGUGUAUUUGCACUUAAUUUAGUGUAACUUUUCCUCAGGCAUUUUUUUUUUGCUUCCAAACCACUACUUAGUCUCAUUAUUGGUUUAUAUGCAACAAAGUUUCUGUAAAGCCAACUCUUCACUUUAGAAAUAAAUAUGAGAGGGCAGCUAGGUGGGUGCAGUGGAGAGAGCAUCAGCCCUGAAGGCAGGAGGACCCGAGUCCAAAUAUGGUCUCAGACACAUAACACUUCCUAGCUGUGUGACCUGAGCAAGUCACUUAACUAACUCCAGUUAUCUCAGGAAAGAAAAAAGAUUUGAAUUUCUAAAUUUAUUAACUAUAGAGACCAGCCAAAACAAGUCUAAGUGCCAUUGGACAGUAAUUAAUGUGUCUUUAGAUCAAGAGGCAAAGAUACCAUCAGCUUUUUAAAGUCAGCCUGAAACAUUACUUUCUAUUUAGUAUGGCCCAGCUUAACACACCACAGAUUAUUAUAACACAUGUCAUCAUAAUAUCUUGUAACCAGUGAACUGGAUGAAACUGGGCUGGAUCACAUUUGGGGAAUCCACCAUUUUCAAAGAUGCUUAAUAAUUGCAUAUUGUGACUACAGGUGACCUGAAGAGGAUUUGUUAAGCUUAUACAUAGCCAAAUUAUGACGUGUACCAGGAAAGGCAAUGCACUGAUCAUGUGGCAAGAGUGAAAGGAAACAACUUCAGAGCUCAGAUGUUUGACUGGCAUGCACGAAACAUUUUAGAAGCUAGAGUUAAAAUUUCAUUGUAUUAAUUCUUUUUAAGAAAAGAACUGCAUAAAAUAAGGCAUAGAAUGCUUGUGAAGAUGGCAGAUUCCAUAUGGAUGAGAUCACAGCUUCAGUUAAUAAAUAAUAGCACUAAAUAAAUAACACUAUAAAAUAGUGUUAUAAUUUAUUUCCUUUUUUCUUGAUCAGUUAUAUUUAUCCACUUUCACUGUAGCAGCAAAUUACAAAGAAUCUAUAUGAUACCUGAAUGAAGGAAAACAUAAGACACUUUGUUGUUUCUUAAAACAGUGACAUGGACAUCUUCUGAAGAAGCCUUAAAAAAGAACCAGGCAAGAGAACAUAAUUUAAGGGCUUGACAAGUAUUUGUCAGACCAUGUUUGUUAGAACAAGAGCAUAAAUGAAGAUGUUAGCAUUUUAAUCCUUGAGACGAUGUCUUUAUAGGAGAAACAGCCAGCUGACUCCUGAUGCCCUUCUAAUUGCCCAGAGAUACCACUAUAGUCUUCAUCUUCACUAGAGGCAAGCAGAGAAUUAUACAAGGAAUCUUUCAUUUUAGUGGGGAAAUUAAGUGCAUUUUGUAAUUCUUAUACCACGUUAGAACAAGUGUAUUUUCUGUAAGACCUAGCUGUACUUAUAUAUAUAUAUAUACUCUUUGAAUUUUUCAUAUAUACCUUUGUACUGUUAAAGUAAGGAGAUUACCCAAGACAAUGGAAAAUUUAAAAUUGUAGCUAUGAUUUUGACAAAUUAAUAAGUUGCAUUUACUAGACUUUGAACUUACAUCAGGAAAAGCACUAACAUGAAUGUCAAACCAGUUUUAGAAAUCCGUUUUCAGUCAUUUCAGUCAUCUGAUUCUUUGUGACCCCAUUUGUUUUUUUUACCAGAGAUACUAUAGUGCAAUAUGCUUCCCCAGUUCAUCUUAUACUUGAGAAAACUGAGGAUGCAAACUCAGUCCCACAGCUAAUAAAUGCCUGAGGCCAGAUUUGAACUCAGGGAGGUGUGAGUUUUCCUGAUUUAAGUCCUGCAUUCUUGUUGCUCCUUAUUCAAUAGUUAUCGAUGGGCUACCGAGGUGACACAGUGGAUACAACACUGGUCCUGGAGCCAGGAAGAACCGAAUUCCAAUUUGACCUCAAGACACUUCAUACAUGUAAUAACCCCGAUUGCCUCACCAGAAGGAAAAAAAAGUUAAUGGUAUCCCCAGAUUCCCAAAAUACAUUACACCUCGAUAUUCCCUUGAACGCUAAAAAUUUUCACUUUAAAGAAGUGUUAUUUAGGAUAUAUAUGAAGAGCAGCUCUCUUUGCAUCAUUUUUUAAUCAUCUAUCAAAUCAUCUAUGAUAGAGCCAUCUAAGGGAAAAACAUUACUUAGUUAAGUCACUCUGCAGAUGACUUUUGAAACUAAAUGUCGUCCUAUUGCAUACAUCCCAGCUGACAUUAACUAGCACCCUUUUGUUUUACCCUGACUGGAUGGAAGCUAUAUAUAUGUGGGUAAAACCAAGGUAUGUCAACACCGAAUAAAUGGUAAGACUAUUUCAAAAAUACUUUUCAAAUUUUAAAUAACAAUAUUUUGGGUACAGAAAUUCUAGUCUUUUUAAGACUGUUUUGCACUACUAAUAACAAUGCACAUGAUCAAAAAACUGGUGUGUGGUAGCUUAGGAGAGGAGUUUUCACUUUAUUCAGUAAAUACAGCAUACCUCCUUUGUGGUAGGUAUUGAGAAGAAAGCACAAAUAAGAAACAAUCCCUCAGUUGAGACUAUGACAUUUUGAUUUACUUUCUCCAUUGUCUUAUUUGAUUGUGAACUUGUGAAACACGAAUGAGAUUUUACAAAUCUCAGAGAUCAUAUUUUUUCCUACAGGCACAAAGCUAAGAGGAAUCCAUAUCUUCUGUCUCCUAGAAUGUAGCUCAUAUAUGUAGAACAAUUUGUUACCUUUGUCUGAGUUUUUGUGUGACCCUGGCUACAUAAAUGUUUAUGAAAGAGAUACACAAACCAAACAUUUACUGAUGAUAAACUGUAAUUUUACAAUCCUCGUUUUCAAUGCACUUUCCCAUAUGGGGUUGUGAUCUACAGUUUAAGUGUGAUCUAGACCAAUUGAAUUAAACUCAAAAAGCAACACAUUAUAAUGUGAAUAUUUAAAGCUUUUCCAGUUUUUAUGCUUAAUUGUGCUAGCCAGAGAUGAAUGCAGAAUAGUAACAAUGAUAGUAAGGGCUUGGAUUUUUAUGAUCCUUGAAGGCUCCUUCAAGCAAUAUGGACUAUUCAGAGGGAUGGCCCUAAGUUCUAGUAUAUCAUAGUAUGAGCAACUGAAUAAAAAUGGUACAGUUCUAAAGAUUUAUUACCAUUGUUGGUAAAUUUAAAGUCACAAAUUCCCUUUUUACACAUGUGGCAAUUUCAAGUGCCCUGAAGAUGUGCAGCCUGAAAAGAUUUAAGUGGAGACACAAUAACUAUCAUUACAUAUAAAGUUUGAUAUGAAAGUUUUCUGACUAGUUCUUAACUGAUAGCUGAAAGAUGAUUGUUCAGUCUGCUUAAAAAUCUCUAGUGAAGGGAAAUCCAUCUCACUUUGCGUUAUCUCUAGUUUGUAGGGUUUUUUUUUUUCCCAAAAGCAAUCAUAAACUUGUUUCUUCAACUUUUAUUCACUAGUUUCCUGCCUUUUAAAAUGUUUUCCUAUAUCAUUAUAAGUUUUCUAGCCUCUAUGAGGAGUUAAGGACUGUGGUGGAUAGAGCAACAGCCCUAAACUCAUCUCUCGAGUUCAAAUCUGGCAUAAGACACCUGGGCAAAUCAUUUAACCCUGGUUGCCUCAGUUUCUCGUGGAGCCAAAGAAAAUGGCAAACCAUUCUCAUAUCUUUGCCAAGAAAACUCCAAAACUGGUUCAAAGAGACAGGCAUGACUAAUAAAACAACAAAAUCAUCUUAGGUUCCUUCAACUACUCUUCAUUUUGCAGGCUUUUCUUUUGUUUUUGCUGAGACAAUUGGGGUUGUGACUUGCCAAGGCUCACACAAUCAGGAAGUGUUAAGUAUCUGAGGCCACAUUUGAACUUGGGUCCUCCUGACUUUAGGGCUGGUGCUCUAUCCACUGUGCCACCUAGCUGCCCCUUAUUUUGCAGAAUCUGGAAGUCCUGAAUGAUCCUGGUUAUUCUGCUCUGGAGAUUCUCCAGCUUACCUAAAUCCUUUCUAAAGUGUGGUACUCCAAAUUCCCAAUUCUGACCAAGACAGACCACACCUAACCUAUCCUAUCCCUAUUCCUGAAUACUAUGCCUCAAUAAUUUCUAAAAUGGACAUAUCUUUUCUGGCUGCUAUUUCAGUUCCUGCUUUCCCAUUUGUGAGCUUGUUUACCACUGACCUUUUUCAUUUUUUCAGUUAAACUGCUUCUUAACCCCACCUCCAUCUUGUAUUUUAAACAUCAGUCUCCAUUAAUUUUUACCAUAUUCAGUUUAGUGCUAAGAUCUUUUUGAAUCUUGUCAUACAAAGUGUUAGCCCUCUUUACCAGCUUUGUGCGCCCUGGAAUGUUGAUGAGCAUGCCAACUCUGCCCUGAUAAAAGGCACUGAUAAGAUUGUAAUAGCAUAGAUUCCUGAGGAUUUUUUAAUCAGAGAUUAUGGAGAUCAUUCACUGGAUGCAUCAGACUACUUCCUAAUCCAUCUGUACUUUAAAGCCACAUAUUUCUCUUGUUGCAAAAAUAAAGUUGUCAAGAGCUUCACUAGAAUUUAGACAAGCUAUAUGAUGUUGCUGGUACCUCUGUAGGCUAAGUUUGGGAUUCCAGCAUUCUCUCUUCAAUAAUUUUAAUGUCCAAUGUAAAAAAAAAAUUCUGUCAUAAGCUUGUGUCUUUCAAGUUCUAAAGACAUCUAAUUCUACUAUGUACUAUUAUAAAUUCUAAGAAUGUCCUUGCUAGGGUUGCUUUAGAUGACUUCCAGCUUCAAAAAUAACCCGCCUUGGAAGAAUCCUAAUGUUUUCACUUUGUCCUCAAGUGGCAGUCCCUCUCACCACCUUUGCCCUUGACCCUUAUAGCUGCCCUUCUCUUGACCUUCUGUUGUUUCUUGAGAUGACCAGAAGCACUCAGCAUUUCAGGUAGGAGAUGCCCUGAGUUUAUACACCUGUAACAGAGAUAAUAUAUCAUAAUUUGACUAAUGAUAUGUGACAGCAGAGUUUUCAGAGUUCUCAAAUGCAGAUUCUGUAGUAUUCAGAAUAUUAUUACUAACCUUCAAAUAUCACCAUAGCCCUUCAUAUUUACAAAGAGAUGGCAGAGACAAAAUGCUCAAUGUAGUUUAUGUUUAGGGACAGUCUGAGACUUAUGCCACGUAUUUAAAUAUUUCUUAAUUAGGAAUUUAAAGAGAACCAAAUUGUGUAGGGAAAAAAAAAAGUUUUAUAUAUGUAUGUAUAUACAUAUAUACACACACACACAUUCAAUAAAAAUAAAAGACAAAAAGCUAGAGAUAUAGUUCCGUCUCCCAUCCCCAAUUUAAAAAAAAAUGAGUGCAGUGAAAAAAAAAAAAAAAAAGAACCAGAAUAGGGGUCAGCAGAUUGGGAUUCAAGUCCCAGCUUUGUUUUAUUGUGUGAUCUUGAACAAGUUAAUUCCCUGCAUUGAGCUUCUAGUCUCAUCUGUAAAAUGGGAAUAAUACCUACACUACCCACAUUUGGUGAUGAUUGCACUUUGUAAACAAAAAUACUAAACUAAUGUGAGCUAUUUUUAUGUGUUAAAUAAAAUAUACAAAACCUGCUUUCUACCCCUCCUUGAAACUUGACCUUUCUGUCACAGCAAUCAGCCAGAGUUAAAAGUCAGUUGUAAAAAUCUGUUUCAGCUUGGAAAAAUGCCAUGCUAAAUGUUUUACAAAAUUCUGGUUAUGUCAAAAAAAAUGUUUUUAAUAAAAUCCUUCAACCAUACACUUUGCAUAUAAUGCUCAAAAUCAAUUUAAUACAGUUUCAAAAACAUUUAGUAGAUUGCAAUGGUUUCUGCAAUUAAGUAUCAAAAUAAGUGUUUAAAUAGCCAAGAAAAAUAGAGAAAAGAUGCUCAUUGGCUUAUCCUAGGCAUCAUCUAAUGAUAGAUGUAAAAAGAGCUGCUAGAGUCAGUCCUGGUUGAGUGAAGCAAGAGUACUGACAUCCUGUCAAAAUCUGGGGACGUCAACAUGUAUUCUCACUAAGGAUCUGUGAGCACAGAAUGACUUGGAGUUUCAUAUCUGCAUUAUAAUGCAGAUAUUUUAAAUGGUCCAUCAUUUCCUUGGGGUAAGCAAGUGCUUACCUGAGACAGGUAAGAGACUCUGUCACAUAAUUACUGCACCCAUGUUUUAUCAACAAUCUGUCAGUAGAGGAUAUAAACCAAGUUAUUGGGUUAAUAUUUAUUCACUUUUAAUCCUUUGUAAGUGAAAAAUAUUAACAAGAUCCUCCUUACUUUGUGUUUAAGACACAUCUAACAUCUUGAACAAUAAUCAAAUGAUGAGCUACCUUCUACCUACUUCAUAAUUGACAUAUACAAAUGUAAAAAUCACACCUUAUAGCGUCAGUGGUGAAAUGAAUUCUCCAGACAUCAAGCUUUCAAUGUAGUUCUGUACCUCUGAAAGUAAGAUUGUGACUUACGGUAGAAAACAUGGCACUUAUCACAGCUCCUCAGUGGCUCAAUUUGUUCUUUCAAGUUAAAAUAACCCAUAUUUGAUUGUGAAAUUGCAAAUCUUCAGCAAUGUUUCCAAAUCAUAUUCACAGAUAACAGCAACUAUGGUGUCCAGAACAAAUUCAGUAAAGGGGA
Sarcophilus harrisii (Tasmanian devil) is the source of this 6985-nucleotide long non-coding RNA. The record is from Ensembl. Lineage: Eukaryota; Metazoa; Chordata; Mammalia; Dasyuromorphia; Dasyuridae.